RNAcentral lists this transfer RNA (101 nucleotides) under Candidatus Mancarchaeum acidiphilum. RNAcentral's name for it is "Candidatus Micrarchaeota archaeon Mia14 tRNA". It matches the Rfam family "tRNA". From Rfam's summary of the family: Transfer RNA (tRNA) molecules are approximately 80 nucleotides in length. Their secondary structure includes four short double-helical elements and three loops (D, anti-codon, and T loops). Lineage: Archaea; Nanobdellati; Microcaldota. The record is from Rfam by way of RNAcentral.
GCCGGGGUAGCCUAGUGGUACUUUAAAAGGCACUAAAGGGCGGCAGCCUGCUAAGCUGUUUGGCUUUAAAGCCUUCGCGAGUUCGAUUCUCGCCUCCGGCG